UCAACAUAUGUCGUGGCUCUUUUUUGAAAGGCUCAGUCAAUACUAGCCCUAUAUAUAUCAUGUUGGUGUCUUUACAAACGUUGCAUUUCAAUGCAUUGUGUGGUGCAAAUUUAAUUUGCAUUAUUUGCAAAGGCAUAAUUUUGUGUUAGCUCAAAGAUAAUACCAUUUUAGUCAUUUUUUUUAUUUUGUAAUCACUAUCAGUUUGAUCAACAUAUGUCGUGGCUCUUUUCGAAAGGCUCAGUCAAUACUAGCCCUAUAUUAAUCUUAUGGGUAUCUUUACAAACAUUACAUUUCAACGCAUUGUGUGAUGCUAAUUUUAUUUGUAUUAUUUGCAAAGGCAUAAUUUUGUAUUAGCUCCAAGAUGAUAUAAUUUCAGUUAUUUUUUAAUUUUUUUAGUUAAACGUGUUAUCAACAUAUGUUGAGGCUUUUUUCAAUAGACUCCAUCAAUAGUAGCACUAUUUUGAUCAUGUUGGUAUUUUUGCAAAUGUUACACUUCAAUAAACUGUGUGGUGCACAUUUUAUUUACAUGAAUUGCAAAGGCAUAAUUUUGUAUUAGCUCAGAGAUUAUACAAUUUUAGUCAUUUUUUUUUAACCAGUCUCGGUUUUGAAUGUGUAUGUCAAUGCUCUUUUCAAAAGGCUCGGUCAAUAAUUGACCUAUGAUAAUCAUGUUGGUAUCUUUAGAUAUGUGACACUUCAAUGCAUUGUGUGUUUCACAUUUAAUUUGCAUUAUUUACUAACUCAUAACUUUGUAUAAGCUAAAGGACAAUACACAUGUAUAACUUUAGUCAUUAUACGCCCGUCUAUGACGGGACGUAUUAUGGUAUACCCCGCGUCCGUCCGUCCGUCCGUCUGUUAAUGUCGUACGCUACGUCAAAUAUCCUUUGACAGAUUUUCUUCAAAUUUUAACACAAUCUUAAUAUUGAUAAACCCUGAUCCCCUUUCGUUUUUGACGGAAUUCUGAAUUGUCGUUCCAGAGUUAUGGGACUUUGUUCGUCAAAAUUUCGUGAUUUCAUUGAAUGUCCUACUGUAGCUAUAUAAAAAUGUUAAAGUUGUUAUAACUUUGGUAUGCUUGGACCUAGAGUCUUGAAACUUGACAUGAAGGUUGGCCAGAACUAGUAAGUAACCACUGGACAUUUCAAGGUCAUUCAUUUGAAGGUCAAGGUCACUGUGACCUUGAAUGUAAAAAUGUUAAAGUUGUUAUAACUUUGGUAUGCUUGGACCUAGAGUCUUGAAACUUGACAUGAAGGUUGGCCAGAACUAGUAAGUAACCCCUGGACAUUUCAAGGUCAUUCAUUUGAAGGUCAAGGUCACUGUGACCUUGAAUGUAAAAAUGUUAAAGUUCUUAUUUCAUGUUAUAACUUUGGUAUGCUUGUACCUAGAGUCUUCAAACUUGAAAUAAAGAUUGGCCAGUACUAGAAGAUGACCACUGGUCAUUUCAAUGUCAUUCAUUCUAAGGUCAAGGUCACUGUGACCUUAAAUGUUAUUGUUGUUCAUGUAUCCUACCGUAGCUCAAAUAUCCCCUGAUGGAUUUUUUAUACGCCCGUCUAUGACGGGACGUAUUAUGGUAUACCCCGCGUCCGUCCGUCCGUCCAUCCGUCUGUUAAUGUCGUACGCUACGUCAAAUAUCCUUUGACAGAUUUUCUUCAAAUUUUAACACAAUCUUAAUAUUGAUAAACCCUGAUCCCCUUUCGUUUUUGACGGAAUUCUGAAUUGUCGUUCCAGAGUUAUGGGACUUUGUUCGUCAAAAUUUCGUGAUUUCAUUGAAUGUCCUACUGUAGCUCAAAUAUCCUUCGAUGGAUUUUUUUCAAAUUUCAACACAAUCUUAAUAUUGAUAAACCCUGAUCCCCUUUCGUUUUUGACGGAAUUCUGAAUUGUCGUUCCAGAGUUAUGGGACUUUGUUCGUCAAAAUUUCGUGAUUUCCAUGCUCAUGUACUUAUAAAAUAAACCAUGUAUUCAAAUACAAAUAAACUGAAGUAAAAAAAUGA
Dreissena polymorpha is the source of this 1985-nucleotide long non-coding RNA. RefSeq lists it as uncharacterized. NCBI's taxonomy places the organism in Eukaryota, Metazoa, Mollusca, Bivalvia, Myida, Dreissenidae. The record is from RefSeq and is a predicted model, not a curated record. The transcript is spliced from 2 exons.